This 497-nucleotide ribosomal RNA is filed under the name uncultured bacterium. RNAcentral describes it as "partial 16S ribosomal RNA". It matches the Rfam family "Bacterial small subunit ribosomal RNA", at positions 28 to 507 of the family's 1533-position model. The record is from RNAcentral.
GAUGAACGCUGGCGGCGUGCCUAAUACAUGCAAGUCGAGCGAACAGAUAAGGAGCUUGCUCCUUUGACGUUAGCGGCGGUCGGGUGAGUAACACGUGGGUAACCUACCUAUAAGACUGGGAUAACUUCGGGAAACCGGAGCUAAUACCGGAUAACAUUUGGAACCGCAUGGUUCUAAAGUGAAAGAUGGUUUUGCUAUCACUUAUAGAUGGGCCCGCGCCGUAUUAGCUAGUUGGUAAGGUAACGGCUUACCAAGGCGACGAUACGUAGCCGACCUGAGAGGGUGAUCGGCCACACUGGAACUGAGACACGGUCCAGACUCCUACGGGAGGCAGCAGUAGGGAAUCUUCCGCAAUGGGCGAAAGCCUGACGGAGCAACGCCGCGUGAGUGAUGAAGGGUUUCGGCUCGUAAAACUCUGUUAUUAGGGAAGAACAAAUGUGUAAGUAACUGUGCACGUCUUGACGGUACCUAAUCAGAAAGCCACGGCUAACUACGUG